Molecule: ribosomal RNA, 495 nt
Filed under: uncultured bacterium
Lineage: Bacteria
Description: bacterial SSU rRNA
Rfam family: Bacterial small subunit ribosomal RNA
Source: RNAcentral
AACGAACGCUGGCGGCGUGCUUAACACAUGCAAGUCGAACGAGAAAGUCCUUCGGGAUGAGUAGAGUGGCGCACGGGUGAGUAAUACAUGGGAACAUGCCUUUAGGUUGGGGAUAACCACGGGAAACUGUGGCUAAUACCGAAUAGUCUCGAGAGAGUAAAGGUGGCGCAAGCUACCGCCUUUAGAUUGGCCCAUGUCCUAUCAGCUAGUUGGUGAGGUAAUGGCUCACCAAGGCGAUGACGGGUAGCUGGUCUGAGAGGAUGAUCAGCCACACUGGAACUGAGACACGGUCCAGACUCCUACGGGAGGCAGCAGUGGGGAAUUUUGCACAAUGGGGGAAACCCUGAUGCAGCAACGCCGCGUGAGUGAAGAAGGCCUUCGGGUUGUAAAGCUCUUUAGACAGGAAAGAGGGGAGGCUAGGUAAACAAUCUAGUCUUCUGACGGUACCUGUAGAAUAAGCACCGGCUAACUCCGUGCCAGCAGCCGCGGUAAUAC